This 301-nucleotide ribosomal RNA is filed under the name uncultured bacterium. RNAcentral describes it as "partial 16S ribosomal RNA". It matches the Rfam family "Bacterial small subunit ribosomal RNA", at positions 509 to 809 of the family's 1533-position model. The record is from RNAcentral.
CAGCCGCCGCGGUAAUACGAAGGGGGCUAGCGUUGUUCGGAUUUACUGGGCGUAAAGGGCGCGUAGGCGGGCGAAUAAGUCAGGGGUGAAAUCCCAAGGCUCAACCUUGGAACUGCCUUUGAUACUGUUUGUCUUGAGUUCGAGAGAGGUAAGUGGAACUGCGAGUGUAGAGGUGAAAUUCGUAGAUAUUCGCAAGAACACCAGUGGCGAAGGCGGCUUACUGGCUCGAAACUGACGCUGAGGCGCGAAAGCGUGGGGAGCAAACAGGAUUAGAUACCCGCGUAGUCCCUGUCUCUUAUAU